CACGUAGGGUGCGAGCGUUGUCCGGAAUUAUUGGGCGUAAAGAGCUCGUAGGCGGUGUGUCGCGUCGGCCGUGAAAACCUGCAGCUUAACUGUGGGCUUGCGGUCGAUACGGGCAUCACUGGAGUUCGGCAGGGGAGACUGGAAUUCCUGGUGUAGCGGUGAAAUGCGCAGAUAUCAGGAGGAACACCGGUGGCGAAGGCGGGUCUCUGGGCCGAUACUGACGCUGAGGAGCGAAGGCGUGGGGAGCGAACGGG
Molecule: ribosomal RNA, 254 nt
Filed under: uncultured bacterium
Lineage: Bacteria
Description: partial 16S ribosomal RNA
Rfam family: Bacterial small subunit ribosomal RNA
Source: RNAcentral